GAUUUCUGGUUUGAUGUACCUGUCCCGCUGCAGCAAUGCAUGUGAGUGACGGAGUAUGUCUGCCAUCCUUCUAGAGAACUCAAGCUAUCCUUUACUGGACCGGUUUGGGUCAUCUAGAUCUUUUACUUUGAAAAAAUUAGAGUGUUUCAAGCAGGCAUGUUUUGCUAUGAAUACAUUAGCAUGGAAUAAUAAUCUAGGACUUUCGGUUCUAUUUUGUUGGUGUUCUGGAGCUGAAGUAAUGAUUGAUAGGGAUAGUUGGGGGUGCUAGUAUUCAAUGGCCAGAGGUGAAAUUCUCGGAUUCCUUGAAGACUAACUUAUGCGAAAGCAUU
This 329-nucleotide ribosomal RNA is filed under the name Allapsidae sp. Its description in RNAcentral is "SSU rRNA". It matches the Rfam family "Eukaryotic small subunit ribosomal RNA", at positions 634 to 955 of the family's 1831-position model. Lineage: Eukaryota; Cercozoa; Glissomonadida; Viridiraptoridae. The record is from RNAcentral.